Long non-coding RNA from Phyllopteryx taeniolatus (common seadragon), 855 nucleotides. RefSeq lists it as uncharacterized. NCBI's taxonomy places the organism in Eukaryota, Metazoa, Chordata, Actinopteri, Syngnathiformes, Syngnathidae. The record is from RefSeq and is a predicted model, not a curated record. The transcript has 4 exons.
UUCUUUUUGAGAAAGUGGUAAGUUGUUUAGUGUGGUUUUACUACUUGUAACAAUGUUAAAGUAGGACUGUGUACAAAUGUACAUAACAGCGUAAGACUUGAAUUCAGUCUAAGGCACUUUAAACAAUGUCGAGUAAGGUUUUCGCAUGCCAGCAAGCAAAUGUUUGGAACAGUGCUAAUGUCCUUGUUGCAGGGUUUUCACUGGUACAGCUUAGUGGCUUGUGUUGGUUGACUGCAGCUACAGUUUGUUUUUUGUGUUUAGAAAGGUCUGAUUUGUCACGAUGCUGCGCAGGCAUGGGAAGUUUUCAUAGGUCUGAUGUUGGAUAGAAUUCGCUGCAGUCAAGUGUUGUCGGUGGACUUGCCAUGGUCUGGAGUUGUUUGGCUUGUUGUAGUUCAGGAUGGCACUUUGAAAACUGGAGUGUGCAGGGUUUUGAGGGAGGACUCCAUCUUGUUUCCCCCCUCUCCUCCCUUCUUCCUUUCGGGUAGAGUCGAUGGCGGAUCGGGUGAGAGGCGCCAAGAUGAACUGGACCAGGGUAAUAAGGACAUGCACAGACAAAUCAAUAAAUGACCGUCACAACUAAUAGCCCCCCCCUCCCUAUGGAUGAGUUUGAAAAGCACAAAAACCCAGAGAGUUGAAGUAAUCAUUGUUCAUGGAACGCAUGUCCCACAAGAUGCACGCAACCCUGUUACUGUAUCCUUUUUCGCACGGUAGAAGAAGAAAGCGGUGACUCACGAUACGCUGGACUUGACAUCAGUUUUCCAAAAGAAUGGGUAGAACAAAGAAUUUGCAUCGAGAUUGAAGGGACGACCUGCGAUAUGGAAACGCAUGGAGCUCAUUCUGAAGGAAAAUGGAGGU